UGGGGAAUAUUGGACAAUGGGCGCAAGCCUGAUCCAGCCAUACCGCGUGGGUGAAGAAGGCCUUCGGGUUGUAAAGCCCUUUUGUUGGGAAAGAAAUCCAGCCGGCUAAUACCUGGUUGGGAUGACGGUACCCAAAGAAUAAGCACCGGCUAACUUCGUGCCAGCAGCCGCGGUAAUACGAAGGGUGCAAGCGUUACUCGGAAUUACUGGGCGUAAAGCGUGCGUAGGUGGUCGUUUAAGUCCGUUGUGAAAGCCCUGGGCUCAACCUGGGAACUGCAGUGGAUACUGGACGACUAGAGUGUGGUAGAGGGUAGCGGAAUUCCUGGUGUAGCAGUGAAAUGCGUAGAGAUCAGGAGGAACAUCCAUGGCGAAGGCAGCUACCUGGACCAACACUGACACUGAGGCACGAAAGCGUGGGGAGCAAACAGG
This 429-nucleotide ribosomal RNA is filed under the name uncultured bacterium. RNAcentral describes it as "partial 16S ribosomal RNA". It matches the Rfam family "Bacterial small subunit ribosomal RNA", at positions 355 to 776 of the family's 1533-position model. The record is from RNAcentral. RNAcentral also lists the same sequence under 1 other name.